Molecule: ribosomal RNA, 256 nt
Filed under: uncultured bacterium
Lineage: Bacteria
Description: partial 16S ribosomal RNA
Rfam family: Bacterial small subunit ribosomal RNA
Source: RNAcentral
UACGUAGGGUGCAAGCGUUGUCCGGAAUUAUUGGGCGUAAAGAGCUUGUAGGCGGUUUGUCGCGUCUGCUGUGAAAUUUCGGGGGCUCAACCCCCGAACUUGCAGUGGGUACGGGCAGACUAGAGUGUGGUAGGGGGAGACUGGAAUUCCUGGUGUAGCGGUGAAAUGCGCAGAUAUCAGGAGGAACACCGAUGGCGAAGGCAGGUCUCUGGGCCAUAACUGACGCUGAGAAGCGAAAGCAUGGGGAGCGAACAGG